UGGGGAAUUUUGCACAAUGGGGGAAACCCUGAUGCAGCGACGCCGCGUGAUUUAGAAGGCCUUCGGGUUGUAAAAAUCUUUUCUAUGGGAAGAAAAUGACAGUACCAUAGGAAUAAGGACCGGCUAAUUACGUGCCAGCAGCCGCGGUAAUACGUAAGGUCCGAGCGUUGUCCGGAAUCAUUGGGCGUAAAGGGUACGUAGGCGGGUAAGCAAGUUAGAAGUGAAAUCCUAUAGCUCAACUAUAGUAAGCUUUUAAAACUGCUCAUCUUGAGGUAUGGAAGGGAAAGUGGAAUUCCUAGUGUAGCGGUGAAAUGCGCAGAUAUUAGGAGGAAUACCGGUGGCGAAGGCGAGUUUCUGGCCAUAGCCUGACGCUGAGGUACGAAAGCGUGGGUAGCAAACAGG
Molecule: ribosomal RNA, 402 nt
Filed under: bacterium
Lineage: Bacteria
Description: partial 16S ribosomal RNA
Rfam family: Bacterial small subunit ribosomal RNA
Source: RNAcentral